This 4852-nucleotide long non-coding RNA is filed under the name Marmota monax (woodchuck). The record is from RNAcentral. Lineage: Eukaryota; Metazoa; Chordata; Mammalia; Rodentia; Sciuridae.
UUCCUGUUUUAGCAAACUUCCGACAACAAAAUAGACAGCAUUUGGUGAUGAUGAACAUCCCAGUUGCCACACAGGCCAGCAGGAACCCAAGCACAUCCAAAGAGUAGUACUGGAACCAGGAGAGGUAAUGGGCAGCCACCCGGAGGUGUUUAGCUCCUUUGUGGCGCAUGACAAACUCUAUCCAGAAGACAGCUUGGUCCAGAGGCUUCACUGGAUGUUCAUGGUGAAUUCUUGAUAAUCUCAUAACAUUCUCUUUAUAUCUAUACAACAAUCAUAAGAUACCAAUAUUUUAAAAAAGUUAAUUGGCCUAAAUUUUUAAGUCCCUGAAAGGUUCUUUGAAAGUUUCACAAAACUGGGUCAAAUAAGUGUCAUAGAACAGCCAUAGAAGUAUUUUUUUUUUUUUUAAUUCUGUUGUCUUGAGAAAUUCAGUUUCUAAGAUGGUGAUUUAUUUAUUUACUUCCAUUUCAAAGUUCAAAUGUAAUUAAAAUGGUGAUUGUAUAGAAUGGGUUUGAAGUCAUUCAAGCUCCUUAAGUUGGAGAUUUGUGUUGGACAAAUAUUUUCCAAAGUGAAAAUGGAAGGUCAGGUGGGAAAGGUAAUAUUACCUAGUGGACCAACUGGAAGUAUGCAAUUUUCAGUGUGGUAAGUGAUAUGGUUAAACACUAUUUAAAAAUGAUCAUCUUGAUGUUUUUGAAGAAGUAUUGGGUCAUGUUGGGUGAAAUGACAUCGAUCAAUUCUAUUUUGCUCUUCUAUUCUACCUGUGGCUGUGUAUUUUCACUCAAUACCCAGAAAGAUCCUUUUUGAUUAAACACAUGUCAGCUUCUAAUACUGAUGUGACCAAAAUUUUCAUAUGGCUCCCCAUGUAUUUAGAUUAAUAUACAGUUCAAUAUUUAUAUACUUGUUUCCUCACUUAAUUACUGCAUGUUUGAACAAUAUAUUAUUUACUAUUUUGUUUUUUAAAAAUGUAGUGAGUAGGUUUUAUGGCAUAAAUAUACAUUCAUCACUUAAGCUACAUUUAUCAAGUUCUACAAAUUUUAUAUGCACUUGUAUUAAUUAAUAUUUAUUAAUUUUAAAAAUAAUUUCUGAGUUAUUACAAAGUAUUCAAAAUCAUUUAUUAUUACACAUUCUGUGUGUACUUUCUUUUUUAAUUUAGACUUGUUUACUCUUAUUUAGUAGAUGCAUAAAAUUUAGAAUGGUAUUGUUUGGAAUGGCUUAUGAAAUAAUAUUUGAAUAAUUAUUAGUAUUUAUUUUUAGCGGUUAUUUUGAACUAUUUUGGUAAUAGUAGUAGAAGUAAAAUAGCUUACAUUGAUAUGGCUUCAUUGGGACUUGUCUUAUAUUUUCACUCAUGUUUUUAUUGUAUACUUAAAUUUAUUAUGUCUUAUAAACAAGGUUUAGUUAGUUAAGUUAGUUUUAAAAAUAUGGUCUUUGAUAAUAAUUCUGGUUUUUAUAAUUAAGGUAAACAUUAAUACCUUCACAUUUGAACUAACUAUUUAAUGUUAGAUUCAUUUUCUGUUUUUCUGACCUGUGUUUCAUUCCCAUUCUAUUUACUUCUUGAUGCUUUAAAAGCACUAUUCCAUUGAAUCUUAUUACUAUUUUGUUUUUGUUCACGCAUUAUUAAAGUGUUCCUUUAGGUGAUGUUUUCUUUAUACAGUAAUAUUACUGAUCAUUGUGAUGAAUGUUGAAUUGAUUGUAGAUAUGCUAGGCACUUUGUACUUUACAUUGCAUUUCCAUUUGAAUUGGGGAAAUUUUGAAAAUUAAAGAAUUAUUUAACUAAAAUUAAACAUUUUCAUGCUUCAAAGUGCACUAUGAAGAAAUUGAUGGAUCCCUCUAUAGUAGAUGGAUUUUCCACUUUGAAAUGGAAGAACAUGUUUGCAAAUCACCCAGUAUCUCACUGUAAAACUGAUUCCAUCUCUUCUCAUUAAAUAAUUUGAACCAAGAAUCAAAAUAAAGAACGUAGAGCAUAUAUUUUACCCGCUCAACAAAUGUCAUUUGAUUGCUUAAUCCUGAAAAUAUAACAGGCAUAUAGGAAGGAGGAAAAAGUAGUACCCUACUAUACUUUUUAAUUUUGUAACCAGGUGAUAAGCAGAGACUCUAAACAAAUGUUUUUUGAAGAAUUUCCACCAGCAGCUCAGCACAGGGACAAAUGGCAUCUGAAAGAAUGACAUCAAACCUUGAUUCUUGUAGUUUUGCCAUAAGUUUCUUGUUCAAAACUGCAUCUCUACAUAUAGUCUCUACUUAAUCAGAUAACUGACCCAUAAUUUUUUGAAAUCUUGAAUAUUUCCAAAAUGGAUUUUUCACUGUUUCAUAAAUAAUUAUACCAAGUGAUUGAGUAUAAAAAUUCUCUAUAUAUUCUCUUGAAAAUGAUGAAGCAUAGUUCUCAAACUUAAUGGCAGAUGAUUUGUCAUCACCCACAAAAAUGGAACCUGAAGGUCUAAAAACAGUCACCUCAUGCCCCCUCUGUGUGAGCUCCUCCAGUAUUGUCUUCAUAUUGAUCUAAUGGUUGUAUUCCAUUGCCCACACCAGCACCUUUCCACAACUUCCAGAACCAAAGUGUAAUAGCUGUAACAGGAGCAGAACUACAGUCAUUUUCAUAGACACCCUGAUGAAAUGCAAGGCUUCCUUUCACAGUGAAUUCCCUCUGCUCUUGCAAAUAUCCAAGAAGAAAUAAUUAUUUGGUUAAAAAGUAACUUGUACGCAUAAAAGUGAAUACAUAAGUGAACAUUUAGUAUACCUGGAUGCCAAGUAGAAAAAUCAAAGGUGACUUUGAAAAAUCAUUAGGUGACUUCCUGCUUGUGUAUGUGUAAUGACUCUUUCAUGAUUAUAUGUGCUUUCCUGCAGUUCAGAAUGGAUUAUCCUGCAUGUGCAAUACACCUAUCUUAUGUUAAAAGUUUUAGAAUAGUGUGAGGAAUGGUUGCAAGUGAGAUGACUUGUUCCUAUAGAUUCCUUGGCUGGAACUAAAGUAAAUACAUAGUUGAAUCAAUAUUUCUUAUAGAUCAUUGUUUAACAGAUUGUUUUUUAAAGUAAAAUCAUUGUUUGCCUAUAGUUCACAUAGGAUGAAACUCACUAUUUUUAAGUAUACACUUCAAUUGUUUAAUUUCAGAGUAGAAUCUCAGAAUUGUAAACCUCAGUUAAUAUUCAAUGUUGAGGCAUUUAACAAUCCAAACUUUCCCAGUACCUCUAACCAUUCCACAUCCCUCAUUCCUAGGUAACCUGUAAUCAAUUUCCUCUCUCUAUAAAUAAGCUUAUUCUGGUGGCAUUUCAAAUAAUUGUUAUAUAAUAUAUGGAUUAUGAUUGAUUUCAAUAUUUUCAAAUAAUUGUCAUGGGUUUUGGUGAUUCAUAUCAAUACUUAAAAUUAUGUCACUUAUCGAUAUUCCAACAUGUGUCAAGACUUCAUUCCUUUUCAUGCUGUGACAGGGCAUGAGCUAUGCCACUGAACUGAGGCAACCAUAGAAAUCCUUUCUCUCCUGAUUUUUAUGGUCAUGCUGGAAAUAUUUUAUACAUGUUGCUCAGAGUAGCACACAUACAUUUAUUGAAGGGACAGUAAAAAGGAAAUAGGGAUGCUAAGGCAAUUCUAGGUGACUUUGAACUAUGCUGACCUGUUCUAGUUGCAAUCUGCUCCUAAAAAAAUUUUAAGGUUACAGGUAAUUAUCCUUACCUCCUUAAGUUUUGUAACCAGGUCUUUGUAAAGCUCAUAAAUUUCCACCUCUCCCUUCCCACAAGGUACCUUGUAUUCUUAUUGGCAUUUUGGACCUGCAUUUCUCUUGCAGAUAACAGCUUCUUUGCUGAGGAAUAUAGCAUAAUCUAUUAAGUUAAACCACCAGUUAAAUUGUGUGUGUGUGUGUGUGUGUGUAAAAAAAAGAAAGUAUGUGGGUAUCAGCUCAAUGGUCCUACUUUAUAGAAUUAUUACCUUAAACUCUUGUGCCCACUGUUAAUGUUUGUGUGCUUCAUAUCAAAGCCAAAUAACAACUCAUAGUGUAAAAUAGAUCACAUUUGUUUUUCAUUCCUAAGUUUCUGCACACUAAUUUUUUUCCCAACUUUUGGCUAUUAUGAAUGAUCUUAUUUAUUAAUACUUAUUUAAUAGUUUUAUUUGCACGUUUUCAUUUCUAUUUGGUAUAUAGGUUAAAUUCAAAUUCUUGGGUCUUUUGAAAACUCUGUUUAUCCUUUGAGGGCCAGAAUGACUCCUUCCUCUAACCAGCAUUGAAUGAGUGUUUUAAUUUCCAUUCUAACCAGCAUUGAAUGAGUGUUUUAGUAUUUCACAUUAUCGCUAACACUUUAUUAUUAAUAUUAUUAUAACUAUGUUAUGAGUAAUGUAGUCAGAUAUCUCAAUAUGGUUCUUUGUGAAUUUCCUUUUAAUACUGGUAAUAAUAUUUUUCCAGGUGUUUGCAUAUGUUUUCAUUGACAUUUUGAAAAUUUUUCUUGAAGAUAUGUCUAUUCAGAGUUUUUGGUCAUUUUUAAAUUUUGUGAUAUACUUAUUAUUGAGUUGCUAACUUUCUUUAUAUGUUCUUGAUGCAAAUCCAUUACCAGAUGUAUGAUUUGGAAAUAAUAGUCAUUUUUUCAUUUAUUUUAUUGAUUGUGCUCUUUCAUGUAGAAAAAUUUUAAGUUUCAUGAAGUCUAAUUUUUCCAUUGAAGUUUAUUUGUGCAUUUGUACCACAUAUUACCAUCUUCAGAGUCAUAAAUAUUUUAAUAUUUAUUUAUUUAUUUCUAAUCAGCCCCAAUAUGUGGUUCUUUUAUUGCAUGCUUUUGAAACUAGUCUUAAAAAUUAGAAUAAAGUCCUUGUGUUCCCUGGUGUUCAAGAUUAAAAACCCGAGAAAUGCUGAGGCAAGAAAACAAGUUUUAUUUAAAUGAUAGUACAGAC